GACGAACGCUGGCGGCGUGCUUAACACAUGCAAGUCGAACGAUGAAGCGGUGCUUGCACCGUGGAUUAGUGGCGAACGGGUGAGUAAUACGUGAGUGACCUACCUUUGACUCUGGGAUAAGCCUGGGAAACUGGGUCUAAUACCGGAUACGACCAAUCUCUGCAUGGGGUGUUGGUGGAAAGCGUUAUGGGGUGGUUUUAGACGGGCUCACGGCCUAUCAGCUUGUUGGUGAGGUAAUGGCUUACCAAGGCGACGACGGGUAGCCGGCCUGAGAGGGUGACCGGCCACACUGGGACUGAGACACGGCCCAGACUCCUACGGGAGGCAGCAGUGGGGAAUAUUGCACAAUGGGCGCAAGCCUGAUGCGGCGACGCCGCGUGAGGGAUGACGGCCUUCGGGUUGUAAACCUCUGUUAGCAUCGAAGAAGCGAAAGUGACGGUAGGUGCAGAGAAAGCGCCGGCUAACUACGUGCCAGCAGCCGCGGUAAUACGUAGGGCGCGAGCGUUGUCCGGAAUUAUUGGGCGUAAAGAGCUUGUAGGCGGUUGGUCGCGUCUGCUGUGAAGGCCGGGGCUUAACUCCGGUUUUGCAGUGGGUACGGGCUAACUAGAGUGCAGUAGGGGAGACUGGAAUUCCUGGUGUAGCGGUGGAAUGCACAGAUAUCAGGAGGAACACCGAUGGCGAAGGCAGGUCUCUGGGCUGUAACUGACGCUGAGAAGCGAGAGCAUGGGGAGCGAACAGGAUUAGAUACCCUGGUAGUCCAUGCCGUAAACGUUGGGCACUAGGUGUGGGGGACAUUCCACGUUUUCCGCGCCGUAGCUAACGCAUUAAGUGCCCCGCCCGGGGAGUACGGCCGCAAGGCUAAAACUCAAAGGAAUUGACGGGGGCCCGCACAAGCGGCGGAGCAUGCGGAUUAAUUCGAUGCAACGCGAAGAACCUUACCAAGGCUUGACAUGCAUUAGAUCGCGUCAGAGAUGGCGUUUCCCUUCGGGGCUGGUGUACAGGUGGUGCAUGGUUGUCGUCAGCUCGUGUCGUGAGAUGUUGGGUUAAGUCCCGCAACGAGCGCAACCCUCGUUCUAUGUUGCCAGCGGUUCGGCCGGGGACUCAUAGGAGACUGCCGGGGUCAACUCGGAGGAAGGUGGGGAUGACGUCAAAUCAUCAUGCCCCUUAUGUCUUGGGCUUCACGCAUGCUACAAUGGCCGGUACAGAGGGUUGCGAUACUGUGAGGUGGAGCUAAUCCCUUAAAGCCGGUCUCAGUUCGGAUUGGGGUCUGCAACUCGACCCCAUGAAGUCGGAGUCGCUAGUAAUCGCAGAUCAGCAACGCUGCGGUGAAUACGUUCCCGGGCCU
This 1345-nucleotide ribosomal RNA is filed under the name uncultured bacterium. RNAcentral describes it as "bacterial SSU rRNA". It matches the Rfam family "Bacterial small subunit ribosomal RNA", at positions 28 to 1381 of the family's 1533-position model. The record is from RNAcentral.